GCUUGAAUAUUUUAUUAAAAAUUAUGAUUUGUGGAGUCAUAGAUGUUGUUUCAACUUCAUGCC
This 63-nucleotide transfer RNA is filed under the name Paphnutius ruficeps. RNAcentral describes it as "tRNA-His". The record is from RNAcentral. Lineage: Eukaryota; Metazoa; Arthropoda; Insecta; Hemiptera; Cercopidae.